Molecule: long non-coding RNA, 661 nt
Filed under: Mytilus galloprovincialis (Mediterranean mussel)
Lineage: Eukaryota; Metazoa; Mollusca; Bivalvia; Mytilida; Mytilidae
Source: RNAcentral
GAUAACUGAAAAAAAAGUAUUGAAUACUUUAAAAUGUCAUAAAUGAAAAAACAAUUGUUUUCCCUUCUUAUCAAAAAAGCCUAAAUAUCAAUGUUGCCUGGCCAUUUAAAAAAAUCUAAUUUAAUCACUCAAAAGUUAUGAACAUCUUCACUUAAUAAUGUAACAUUUGAUCAAAACAUAAGCCAUCACAUUUGUAAAAAUAAAAUAAACCCACAACAAAACAUAUUAAAAACAAGAAUGUGUCCAUAGUACACGGAUGCCCCACUCGCACUAUCAUUUUCUAUGUUCAGUGGACCGUGAAAUUGGGGUCAAAACUUUAAUUUGGAAUCAAAAUUAGAAAAAUCAUAUCAUAGGGAACAUGUGUACUAAGUUUCAAGUUGAUGUAACUUUAACUUCAUCAAAAACUACCUUGACCAAAAACUUUAAUCUGAAUGUCGCACUAUCAUUUUCUAUGUUCAGUGGACCAUGAAAUUGGGGUCAAAACUAUAAUUUGGCAUUAAAAUUAGAAAGAUCAUAUCAUGGGGAACAUGUGUACUAAGUUUCAAGUUGAUUGGACUUCAACUUCUUCAAAAACUACCUUGACCAAAAACUUUAACCUGAAGCGAACAGACGGACGCACAGACGAACGGAGGCACAGACCAGAAAACAUAAUGCCCCUCUA